UGACGGCCACAUCAUGUUGAAACAGCAGUUCCCGUAAAAUCACCGAAGUUAAGCCUGGUCAGUACCUAGAUUGGUGACCUCUUGGAAAUACCAGGUGCUGUAAG
Acanthosepion pharaonis is the source of this 104-nucleotide non-coding RNA. NCBI's taxonomy places the organism in Eukaryota, Metazoa, Mollusca, Cephalopoda, Sepiida, Sepiidae. The record is from the annotation of a GenBank genome assembly.